RNAcentral lists this ribosomal RNA (416 nucleotides) under uncultured bacterium. RNAcentral's name for it is "bacterial SSU rRNA". It matches the Rfam family "Bacterial small subunit ribosomal RNA", at positions 362 to 776 of the family's 1533-position model. The record is from RNAcentral.
UAUUGGUCAAUGGGCGAGAGCCUGAACCAGCCAAGUCGCGUGAGGGACGACUGCCCUAUGGGUUGUAAACCUCUUUUGUAUGGGGGGAAUAAGUUCUACGAGUAGAGUGAUGACAGUACCAUACGAAUAAGCAGCGGCUCACCACGUGCAAGCAGCCGCGGUAAUACGGAGGAUGCGAGCGUUAUCCGGAUUUAUUGGGUUUAAAGGGUGCGUAGGCGGCAUUAUAAGUUAGUGGUAAAAUAUUGGGGCUUCACCUCACUACGCCAUUAAUACUGUAGAGCUAGAGAACAGACGAGGUAGGCGGAAUAAGUUAAGUAGCGGUGAAAUGCAUAGAUAUAACUUAGAACACCGAUAGCGAAGGCAGCUUACCAGACUGAGUCUGACGCUGAUGCACGAGAGCAUGGGUAGCGAACAGG